Molecule: long non-coding RNA, 212 nt
Filed under: Carica papaya (papaya)
Lineage: Eukaryota; Viridiplantae; Streptophyta; Magnoliopsida; Brassicales; Caricaceae
Description: long non-coding RNA (CPAP_LNC007287)
Source: RNAcentral
CCAGAUUUAAUCAAAAACGGACGACCCAGAUUAAAACAAAAUGGACGGCUGAGAUCAAAAGGCAAAAGGUUAUAAAUAGAACCCCCACACCAGACCACAAACCCUAGCCGCCUGCCGCUCGCCGGAGAAGACGAACCAGAAGCCGGCCGCGGCCACCCGCCGCCGCACCGGAGGGAUUUCCGACCGCCGAUCGAGGUAAAUUUCAUACCCCC